This 357-nucleotide ribosomal RNA is filed under the name uncultured bacterium. Its description in RNAcentral is "bacterial SSU rRNA". It matches the Rfam family "Bacterial small subunit ribosomal RNA", at positions 29 to 414 of the family's 1533-position model. The record is from RNAcentral.
AACGAACGCUGGCGGCAGGCCUAACACAUGCAAGUCGAACGCUCUCUUCGGAGGGAGUGGCAGACGGGUGAGUAACGCGUGGGAAUCUACCCAGCUCUACGGAAUAACGCAUGGAAACGUGUGCUAAUACCGUAUACGCCCCAUGGGGAAGGAAUUAUCGGAGUUGGAUGAGCCCGCGUCUGAUUAGCUAGUUGGUGAGGUAAUGGCUCACCAAGGCGACGAUCAGUAGCUGGUCUGAGAGGAUGACCAGCCACACUGGGACUGAGACACGGCCCAGACUCCUACGGGAGGCAGCAGUGGGGAAUAUUGGACAAUGGGCGCAAGCCUGAUCCAGCCAUGCCGCGUGAGUGAUGACGG